AAUCCCUUAACGAGGAUCCAUUAGAGGGCAAGUCUGGUGCCAGCAGCCGCGGUAAUUCCAGCUCCAAUAGUGUAUAUUUAAGUUGCUGCAGUUAAAAAGCUCGUAGGUUGAUCUUGGGUCGUAAAGGUCGGUCCGCCUACUCGGUGUGCACCUGCCCUUCCGUCCCUUUUGUCGGCGGCGUGCUCCUAACCUUAAUUGGCUAGGUCACGGCUCCGGCGCUGUUACUUUGAAAAAAUUAGAGUGCUCAAAGCAAGCUUAUGCUCUGAAUACAUUAGCAUGGAAUAACGUGAUAGGAGUCUGGUCCUAUUGUGUUGGCCUUUGGGACUGGAGUAAUGAUUAAUAGGGACUAACGGGGGCAUUCGUAUUUCAUUGUUAGAGGUGAAAUUCUUGGAUUUAUGAAAGACAGACCACUGCGAAAGCAUUUGCCAAGGAUGUUUUCAUAAUCAAGAACGAAAGUUGGGGGCUCGAAGACGAUCAGAUACCGUCCUAGUCUCAACCAUAAACGAUGCCGACCAGGGAUCAGUGGAUGUUGCUAUAAGGACUCCGCCAGCACCUUCUGAGUUAUCAGAGUGUUUGGGUUCCGGGGGGAGUAUGGUCGCAAGGCUGAAACUUAAAGGAAUUGAUGGAAGGGCACCACCAGGAGUGGAUUUUGUGGCUUAAUUUGACUCAACACGGGGAAACUUACCAAGUGCAGACAUAGUAAGGAUUGACAAAUUGAGAGCUCUUUCUUGAUUCUAUGGGUAGUGGUGCAUGGCCGUUCUUAGUUGGUGGAGCGAUUUGUCUGGUUAAUUCUGAUAACGAACGAGACCUUAACUUGCUAACUAGCUACAUGGAGGUUCCCCUUCACGGCCAGCUUCUUAGAGGGACUAUGGCCGUUUAGGCCAUGGAAGUUUGAGGCAAUAAUAGGUCUGUGAUGCCCUUAGAUGUUCUGGGCCACACACGCGCUACACUGAUGCAACAAAUGAGCUUUUCUUCCUGGUUCGAGAGGAUCGGGAAAUCUUCUCAAAUUGCAUCGUGAUGGGGAUAGACCAUUGCAAUUAUUGGUAUUCAACGAGGAAUUCCUAGUAAGCGCGUGACUUCAACUCGUGUUGACUACGUCCCUGCCCUUUGUACACACCGCCUGUCGCUCCUACCGAUUGAAUGAUCUGGUGAGGUGUUUGGAUUGCGUCGACGAUGGUGGUUCGCCGCCAUCGACGUCAUGAGAAGUUCAUCGAACCUUAUCAUUUAGAGGAAGGAGAAGUCGUAACAAGGUUACUGUAGGUGAACUUGCGGUAG
Molecule: ribosomal RNA, 1275 nt
Filed under: Pinus taeda (loblolly pine)
Lineage: Eukaryota; Viridiplantae; Streptophyta; Pinopsida; Pinales; Pinaceae
Description: SSU rRNA
Rfam family: Eukaryotic small subunit ribosomal RNA
Source: RNAcentral